Molecule: ribosomal RNA, 446 nt
Filed under: uncultured bacterium
Lineage: Bacteria
Description: partial 16S ribosomal RNA
Rfam family: Bacterial small subunit ribosomal RNA
Source: RNAcentral
CCUACGGGAGGCAGCAGUCGAGAAUCAUUCACAAUGGGGGAAACCCUGAUGGUGCGACGCCGCGUGGGGGAAUGAAGGUCUUCGGAUUGUAAACUGCUGUCAUGUGGGAGCAAAUGAAAAAGAGAGUACCACAAGAGGAAGAGACGGCUAACUCUGUGCCAGCAGCCGCGGUAAUACAGAGGUCUCAAGCGUUGUUCGGUAUCACUGGGCGUAAAGCGUGCGUAGGCGGUUUCGUAAGUCGGGUGUGAAAGGCGUGGGCUCAACCCGCGGACGGCACGUGAUACUGGGGGACUAGAGUAAUGGAGGGGGAACCGGAAUUCUCGGUGUAGCAGUGAAAUGCGUAGAUAUCGAGAGGAACACUCGUGGCGAAGGCGGGUUCCCGGACAUCAACUGACGCUGAGGCACGAAGGCGCGGGGAGCGAAAGGGAUUAGAUACCCUUGUAGUC